AACAACUCUCAACAACGGAUAUCUCGGCUCUUGCAUCGAUAAAGAACGCAGCGAAAUGCGAUAAAUGGUGUGAAUUGCAGAAUCCCGUGAACCAUCAAGUCUUUGAACGCAAGUUGCGCCCGAGGCCAUCAGGCCAAGGGCACGCCUGCCUGGGCAUUGCGAGUC
This 165-nucleotide ribosomal RNA is filed under the name Paphiopedilum henryanum. RNAcentral describes it as "5.8S ribosomal RNA". It matches the Rfam family "5.8S ribosomal RNA". From Rfam's summary of the family: 5.8S ribosomal RNA (5.8S rRNA) is a component of the large subunit of the eukaryotic ribosome. The record is from RNAcentral. Lineage: Eukaryota; Viridiplantae; Streptophyta; Magnoliopsida; Asparagales; Orchidaceae.